GGGAACUGCGUUNUGAACUGGGUGACUAGAGUGUGUCAGAGGGAGGUAGAAUUCCACGUGUAGCAGUGAAAUGCGUAGAGAUGUGGAGGAAUACCGAUGGCGAAGGCAGCCUCCUGGGAUAACACUGACGUUCAUGCCCGAAAGCGUGGGUAGCAAACAGGAUUAGAUACCCUGGUAGUCCACGCCCUAAACGAUGUCGAUUAGCUGUUGGGCAGCAUGACUGCUUAGUAGCGAAGCUAACGCGUGAAAUCGACCGCCUGGGGAGUACGGUCGCAAGAUUAAAACUCAAAGGAAUUGACGGGGACCCGCACAAGCGGUGGAUGAUGUGGAUUAAUUCGAUGCAACGCGAAGAACCUUACCUGGUCUUGACAUGUACGGAACCCUCCAGAGACGGAGGAGUGCCUUCGGGAGCCGUAACACAGGUGCUGCAUGGCUGUCGUCAGCUCGUGUCGUGAGAUGUUGGGUUAAGUCCCGCAACGAGCGCAACCCUUGUCAUUAGUUGCCAUCAUUAAGUUGGGCACUCUAAUGAGACUGCCGGUGACAAGCCGGAGGAAGGUGGGGAUGACGUCAAGUCCUCAUGGCCCUUAUGACCAGGGCUUCACACGUCAUACAAUGGUCGGUACAGAGGGUAGCCAAGCCGCGAGGCGGAGCCAAUCUCACAAAACUGAUCGUAGUCCGGAUUGCACU
RNAcentral lists this ribosomal RNA (687 nucleotides) under uncultured bacterium. RNAcentral's name for it is "bacterial SSU rRNA". It matches the Rfam family "Bacterial small subunit ribosomal RNA", at positions 616 to 1304 of the family's 1533-position model. The record is from RNAcentral.